UAGGGAAUUUUGGGCAAUGGGGGAAACCCUGACCCAGCAACGCCGCGUGUGGGAUGAAGGCUCUCGGGUCGUAAACCACUGUCAGGAGGGAAGAACGGCUCCACGGGUAAUAUUCGUGGGGUUUGACGGUACCUCCAAAGGAAGCACCGGCUAACUCCGUGCCAGCAGCCGCGGUAAUACGGAGGGUGCAAGCGUUGUUCGGAAUUACUGGGCGUAAAGAGCGUGUAGGCGGCUGGGCAAGUCGGAUGUGAAAGCCCCGGGCUCAACUCGGGAACUGCAUCCGAAACUGCCUGGCUAGAGUCCCGGAGAGGAAGGCAGAAUUCCCAAUGUAGGGGUGAAAUCCGUAGAUAUUGGGAGGAAUACCAGUGGCGAAGGCGGCCUUCUGGACGGUGACUGACGCUGAGACGCGAAAGCGUGGGGAGCAAACAGGAUUAGAUACCCCCGUAGUCC
This 450-nucleotide ribosomal RNA is filed under the name uncultured prokaryote. RNAcentral describes it as "bacterial SSU rRNA". It matches the Rfam family "Bacterial small subunit ribosomal RNA", at positions 355 to 796 of the family's 1533-position model. The record is from RNAcentral.